AGUCGCAUGGACGUGUGCGUGUGCGUGCCCCUCUGCCAUUUUCCCGUUGUGUCUCCGUGCCGCUGCCCUGCUCCUCGUCUUCCCCGCCCCCUCCAUGCGCGUGUGCGUGUGCGGGCGAGGCGGCUGAUCGAGGGGACGACGAGGUGGAGAGCAGCCACGGCACCGCAGCGCUGGGGAUACAUGGGCAGUGUGCAGGAGCAGCGGAGGAGAGGCACGCACACGCACUCUGGCAAGGGAGUAGUGGUGCGGAGGCCGCAGGGGAAUACGCAGCGGAGCGAGUGGGUACGGAGGCGGAGCGGAGGAGAGGCAGCGCUGCUUCUCUGUUCGCCCCGCUUGCGUUGGACUCGAGUGUGUCUGCGUGUGCGCCCCCUGCGGCCCUCGGCCCCCUCGCCUCUCUUGCGCGCUUCGCGUCGCUUGUUUCGUUGCUGUGGCUGUCUAACUACGCCAUCGAGUCGGCCAGAGUCGCGUGCGCGGAGUAUUCACACCAUAUUACGGCAUGCGGCAUGCACCUACACCAGCCCCUGCGGCCUGCACGGCAGACGCCGCCGCCUCCGCCCUCGAGCAGGACCCUGCACCGGGGUCCGUGUGGCGCCGGUCGCGCUGCACGCGUGCGAGGGCGAUACGCGGAGGGACAAGGCGAGCCCGCUAGCAGCAUGGGCCGACUCGACGGCUGAACGGCUCGUCGUGGACGGCGCGGAUGUGGCCGCCGUGCGACAGGGGUGGGUGGGCUGCGGCUGUAUGCGUACACGUGUCGACUGGGGCGUGGUGUAACGGCAAGCAGGGACGAAUUUGUAUACAUUAAGCUGCUCUAACAAGCAAGUGACAGGGGAUGAAAUACUCAUGAGCACUUUGGAGGAAGGAAGCCGCGCUCGUGGUUUGCAGAAAACCCCCCGGACUUUGUUUUCCCCGCCGACCGCCGCCCCCGUGUGCUCGCCCGAGCGGACGGAGCGCGUGCGCGUGCGCCCUUUUCUCCUCGUGCUUCUCCAUUGCUUGUUUUUUGCUUUCUGUCUUUUGUUGUUGUCUCCGUUCCUCGACUG
Molecule: unclassified non-coding RNA, 1037 nt
Filed under: Leishmania donovani
Lineage: Eukaryota; Euglenozoa; Kinetoplastea; Trypanosomatida; Trypanosomatidae
Description: gene:unknown
Source: RNAcentral